This is a long non-coding RNA of Sarcophilus harrisii (Tasmanian devil), 2726 nucleotides long. RefSeq lists it as uncharacterized. The transcript has 2 exons. NCBI's taxonomy places the organism in Eukaryota, Metazoa, Chordata, Mammalia, Dasyuromorphia, Dasyuridae. The record is from RefSeq and is a predicted model, not a curated record.
UUAUUCAGCCAUUCUCCAAGUGGUGGACAUCCACUCAGUUUCCAUAUGCCAUGGUUUCUUGAACACACCGACUUCUGGGAAGGCAGGUUUCUGUUAACUAAAGAAAAUACUUAUUUGGAGACAGGUUUUUCCUUCUAUGAGGAUCUUAAAAUUCCAGUGAACUUCCUGCCUCUUUUAGGGAUCUGAUGUAUUCUAAAUACAAUCUAAAACAUUGAAAAACAGCUAAGGGAAUCCUUUGAUGGUUGUCCUUUAUGAGGUUGAUGAUUAGGUCCAUUAAUAUAAUGGUACCUGAACAGAUUCUAUAGUAAUCUUAUGCCCAUAAAGAGUAAAUACCUCAAACUCAUUUUUAUAUCUUUAGGACAGCUCUAUUGUGCUACAUCAAAGGAGACUGAAAUCAGAAAUAUCUAAAUCCUGGCCUGAUAUAGAUAAAUCUUCUGGAAAAGGGAUCUAUAUGGGAUUUCUGCUUGAGUGAGGGAGAAUGGGUCAUUAGGAAUCCAGAAAUGUCUCUUGCAUUGUGUAAUCACAUUGUGAAUUUCUUGUCGAAUCUUAGAGUUGGGGGGGAGGGGGGGAAAAUCUUACAGAUUAUCUUCAAGUUGAUAUAUUUAUAAUAGUGCUAAUAGUGUGUUGGAACCUGUGAAGGCAACUUCUUGUCCUCUCCCAUUUUUGUUCUUUGUGGGGUAGAAGGCCCUAGGGAUACAUCCUUGGUCUAAAAUCAUGUUGCUUUUGCAUAAGUUAUAGUCACUGACAUCUCAAUUUGGCGAAAGCUAAUAAGGACAGGUGGGAAAGGUAAAUGUCGAGCAAGAAUUUGUGUGGACUUUCUAAAUCCUCACCAUCUGGAAGUAUAACUAAAAAGGGUGGCAGCUGUUUAUCAAAUCAAGAAACGAGGCCCAGUGCUAAAAGUUGGGAGAAAGAUGUGGUAAAGACUUCUUUCCUCUCAACUUGUCUAUUGGGCUUCUUUGAAUAGAACCCAAUCUUACAGAAGAGUAAGCAUAAGGAAUAAGUCUUAGCUGUCACCAAUGUCCUUUGAGAGUAAAGGUUCUUUGACCCUAUCCUAGGAGAAAAGGCUGUGGAGACCCAGACUUUUUUUAAACACUGAAAUGAAACAAUGCAGUCAGGAGGCCUGAAGAAAGGCACUUAAGAUAAAGCUAAUCUUGGCCUCCAAGGCAACUUGCAAGAGUUGACAGAAGAGCAAAUAUUAAAACUAUUUUUUAAUAGCUGCAGCCUCAUGUAAACAUUCUGAAAGGCAUCUUCCUUAGGGAUUUAUGAAAUGAUCUUUGACCUCCAAAAACUCAUCUUUCUAGGAGUUCACCAAGCCAGAAGGAAAAUAAAUGCCACUAUCAUUCAUGUAAGAGACAAAGACUUACUUCCAUGGAUCAAAAAAGCUUUGAAGUAAAAGCAGAAUAGAGAAGGAAGUAAAGAGGCAGAACAGAAACCUGACCUAUGCCAAGUGACUGGGAAAAUAUGAAUCAAGGAAGGGAAUAUUUCAUUCUGAAAUGAAGAGGGAACAAUGGCUGGAUGAAAAGAACAAGUAUAUGAUGAAGGGAAUGUUGAAUUAACCAUAAUUAUCACAAUGAAUGGAAUGAAUCACUCAAAUGGAGGUAGGUAACAGAAUAGAUUAGAAAGCUGAAUCCAGCAAUCUAUUGUUUAUAAGAAAUACAUUUGAAAGCGAUUUUCACAUAAAUUCUGCUCUAAAUCUUCAUUUUUACUAUGAUUCAGGUGAAAUUUUUUUUCCCCCCAAAGAGGUAUUAUCACAGUCUUAAACAAAUCUACUUUUACUGUUUUUAAAAGAAACAAGCAGAAUUCUUAAAGCCAUGAAAUUGUAGACAUCAAUAUUUAUACAUGUACUGAAUGCCUUAGCAUCUAUGUACUUAAGGAAAAGCUAAUUGCAUAAAGGGAGAAAAAUAGAAGUAUGAUAAUUAAGAUUUGUCAAUCUAUGAAGAAUACAAAGUCCAACAAAAAUAUGAAUGAGAUAAUUAGGAACAUGAGUAGAAUUUUAGGAAUGAGAUGAUAGCGGGAAUAGAAAGGAAGGAGUGUACAUGUUUCAACUAUGCAUGGAAUCCUUUUAUAAAAUGGUCAUGUGCUAGGGUAUAAAAAUUUCAAAUACUGAAAAUCAAAUAAACAUUCUUUUUAAAAGGAUAGCAUGAUAAUUAUCUUCACUAAAGAGUCAUGCAAGAAGCAUCUAAUGAUUGCUAAAUAUUGCGGUCAGUGUGCCAAGGACACAAACAUACCCGACUUCAAGGUGUUCCCAAUACAAAGUUCUUGCUACUACAGUUCUUGGCAUUGGUUCCACAUUGGAUCUGAUAAGCUUUUGCUUAUAGAAAUAUCAUGAAAGAAGAUACAUUAAUAUUAUUUUCUGCUGCAUCAUCAGAAUUAAAUGACUUGUGAACUGUAUGUGUUAUCUCCUAUUAGGAUGGGCAUUUCCUUAAGAAUGAUCUUAGUUUUCUAUUUGUAUUUCUAGCACUCAUAUGGCACUUUAAUGUUUAAUAAGUAGUUUAUUCCUUAAUCCUAAACAGAGAUAAUGUUACAUAUUAUAGAUAUAUGCAGCAUAGUAGACAGAAGAUAAUCAAAAAGGGGAAGACAUUUGCAACUGUGGGAUUUUGAGAAAGGGCCCCUGCCAAGAUCACUUUGUUAACUUUUAAGGAAUAGGAUAAGAUUGGGGAAAUAGAAAGAAAUUAGAAAAAUAUUGGAAUAAACAUAAGGGAAUCCUGUUCUGAAUCCCCUCCCAC